RNAcentral lists this signal recognition particle RNA (257 nucleotides) under Tiarina fusus. RNAcentral describes it as "Tiarina fusa partial Metazoan signal recognition particle RNA". It matches the Rfam family "Metazoan signal recognition particle RNA", at positions 1 to 262 of the family's 299-position model. From Rfam's summary of the family: The signal recognition particle (SRP) is a universally conserved ribonucleoprotein. It is involved in the co-translational targeting of proteins to membranes. The eukaryotic SRP consists of a 300-nucleotide 7S RNA and six proteins: SRPs 72, 68, 54, 19, 14, and 9. Lineage: Eukaryota; Ciliophora; Prostomatea; Prorodontida; Colepidae. The record is from RNAcentral.
GGGAGCUCAGCGCGCUCCUGUGACCGUAGCUUGCGGAUCCUAUAAAGUUGUGGGAUAGUGAGGAUUCUGGAAAGAGGGUAGAUGCUGCCAUGUCGAUGGACUGCCCACCUCAGAUCGGGGAUCCAACAUCGAUAACUAUCAGUAGUGAAGUUGUCGAGGUUGUUAGAGAAAGAGGGAACGCCUGAGGCCGGAAACGGAGCAAGGAAAACUCUUCGUCUUCGAUUAGUUGAGGGGAACACGGUCUUGAGUGGGGCCUA